This 72-nucleotide transfer RNA is filed under the name Callorhinchus milii (elephant shark). RNAcentral describes it as "tRNA-Thr (CGT) (tRNA-Thr-CGT-15-1)". It matches the Rfam family "tRNA". From Rfam's summary of the family: Transfer RNA (tRNA) molecules are approximately 80 nucleotides in length. Their secondary structure includes four short double-helical elements and three loops (D, anti-codon, and T loops). The record is from Rfam by way of RNAcentral. Lineage: Eukaryota; Metazoa; Chordata; Chondrichthyes; Chimaeriformes; Callorhinchidae.
AGUCCUGUAGCUCAAUGGUUAGAGCACUCGCCUCGUAAGCGAGAGACCUGGGUUCGAUUCCCAGCAGGGUAA